This 460-nucleotide unclassified non-coding RNA is filed under the name uncultured Basidiomycota. RNAcentral's name for it is "sequence contains ITS2". The stretch from base 1 to 155 matches the Rfam family "5.8S ribosomal RNA". Lineage: Eukaryota; Fungi; Basidiomycota. The record is from RNAcentral.
AACUUUUAGCAAUGGAUCUCUUGGCUCUUGCAACGAUGAAGAACGCAGUGAAAUGCGAAAAGUAGUGUGACUUGCAUCCACCUGUGAAUCAUUGAAUCUUUGAACGCACAUGGCACUCUCUUCUGCUAGAAGGGAGUAUGCCUGUUUGAGAAUUGAAAAAGUCUAUGGAUCCCGGAUGAGGAUCUGACCUGCGGUAUUCAGCGAGGAGUUGGUGUGCACUGACGUGCAAUUGAUGCACACUAGCAGCUCUUUGCUGAGCCGUGAAAUACAGUCGGUAGUGACUGAUGGUCGGUCGUGUUGCUGGCCAUUGUGUGAUAAGAGGGAGGGGAUGUGCCUUGCCACAGUGAGCUGCUCAUGGUGACCAUUGUCUGCUGCCAAUCAACAUGAUGAUAUCAUGUCACUUAAUCUCAAAACAAGUAAGACUACCCGCCGAACUUAAGCAUAUCAAUAAGCGGAGGCU